This 1428-nucleotide ribosomal RNA is filed under the name Triticum aestivum (bread wheat). RNAcentral's name for it is "partial small subunit ribosomal RNA". Lineage: Eukaryota; Viridiplantae; Streptophyta; Magnoliopsida; Poales; Poaceae. The record is from RNAcentral.
AUGAGACCAGGACCUGUUUUUGAGCAACUACCAGAGGAAAUUCUACAUUAUAUACACUCCCUCUUGACAGUGCAAGACGCAGCUCGUGCUGCAUGCGUGUCUCGUGGACUUCUACAUGCCUGGAGAUGCUAUUCCCACCUUAAACUCAACGAACAUACGCUUGGAUUGGCUGAUAAGACAGUUGAAGAACAAAAAACCUAUAUCAUAAAAAAAGUUGACCAAAUUCUUGAAAACCAUCACAACAAUAGGGUUAAGGUGGAGACACUUAAACUUAGACUUGUACAUGGCUCUUAUGGCCACAUCAAAGCCUCCAGCCUCAACAGGUGGCUCCAAAUCACCGUCAAGUCUGGGAUAAAAAAACUUGACUUGUCAAUACCUUUACAAAUCAAGAAAGAAUACAACUUCCCGUGUGCCGUCUUGUCUGAUGAGGCAGCUGCAAGUUCAAUCAAGUCUCUCCACCUCCACGGCUGUGCUUUUACUCCCACGUCGUCACUUGGUAUCUUGAGAAGAUUGACAUGUUUACAUUUGUUUUCUGUCCGGGUUACAGAGGAAGGGUUACGGUUCUUGCUCUCAAAAUCUCCUGUCCUAGAGAAGUUGGACAUGUACUUUUGUAGGGGGAUAGUAUGCUUGCGAAUAGCUUUCACGUUGCAGCAACUCAAAUACCUUAGUUUGAUACAUUGCACAGGGCUACAGUCAGUACAGAUCGAUGCCCCAAAACUUUGCUCCUUUCGCUCUGAUGAGAUUGGGAUCCUGAAAGAAAUUUGUUUGAGAAAUUCUUCUCAACUUAAGAAUGUAGAUUUGUCGAGCAUUUUUUUCUCUGAUGCUCGUGCCAGACUUCCAUCCAUCAUACCUAAUGUUGAGAGUCUUAUCCUGCAAUCACGACAGCCCUCCAAGUUCCCCUACCUCAAGAACCUGGAAAUCGAACUCCAUCCAGCAACAAUGCCCUUCCCUCCAAGCCAUGACAUAUUUUCUUUGGUUUCUUUUCUUGAUGCUUCUCCGGUCCUGGAUUCUUUCAUCCUACCGGUAGAGCAGGAUGCAACUACACCCGAUCUCAUUUCUGGAGAGGAUGAUGUGUAUACUAAACGAAAGCUAGAGUACCGACACGACCAUCUCAGGAAGGUGCUGAUCACAUGGUUCUGUCCAUCCCGGAGCCUGGUCGAGCUCACGAUCCACAUCCUUGAGAGUACAGCUUCCCUCGAGCGUCUGACGUUGGACUUGACCUACGGCUAUGAUAGGAGGUGGGGUACUGUUGGCAGAUGCCCCGCCUCAACAAAGAAUGGCCUAUGUUUGUCAAUGAGCAAGAAAGAUCUUGCGGGAGCUCGUAGAGGAGUGGAGAUUGCGGGUCAGUACAUCGUGGGGAGAGUUCCCACCAAUGUUCAGUUCGAGGUCCUAGGGCCUUGUACCCAAUGUCAUAGUGUCGAGCGGUAG